CUUAUUAUCUGAAAAGGUUUCGUGAAAUUCUGUUGUGUGGUUUGAGAGGAGUUGCGAUGACAAACUGUUGCAGUAGUACAUUAAAGUAAAUAAGUUCAAAGGGGCGUAACUCCUAGAAAAAAAAUUGAAUCACAAUUUUCCGUCGAUAUGCACAACUAGUAUGUCCUUAUUAUCGUGAAAAAUUCUGAAUUCUGUUGUGUGGUGAGAGGAGUUGCGAUGACAAACUGUUGCAGUAGUACAUUAAGUAAAUAAGUUCAAAGGGGCGUAAC
This 269-nucleotide long non-coding RNA is filed under the name Mytilus galloprovincialis (Mediterranean mussel). Lineage: Eukaryota; Metazoa; Mollusca; Bivalvia; Mytilida; Mytilidae. The record is from RNAcentral.